GAUGAACGCUGGCGGCGUGCCUAAUACAUGCAAGUCGAGCGAACAGACGAGGAGCUUGCUCCUCUGACGUUAGCGGCGGACGGGUGAGUAACACGUGGAUAACCUACCUAUAAGACUGGGAUAACUUCGGGAAACCGGAGCUAAUACCGGAUAAUAUAUUGAACCGCAUGGUUCAAUAGUGAAAGACGGUUUUGCUGUCACUUAUAGAUGGAUCCGCGCCGCAUUAGCUAGUUGGUAAGGUAACGGCUUACCAAGGCAACGAUGCGUAGCCGACCUGAGAGGGUGAUCGGCCACACGGGACCUGAGACGCGGCCCGGACCCCUAGGGGAGGCAGGAGUGGGGAAUUUUCCGAAAUGGGGGAAAGCCUGACGGAGCAACGCCGCGGGAGGGAAGAAGGUCUUCGGAUCGUAAAACUCUUUUAUUAGGGAAAAAAAAAUGUGUAAGUAACUAUCCCCUUUUUGACGGUACCAAAACAGAAAGCCACGGCUAACUACGU
This 496-nucleotide ribosomal RNA is filed under the name uncultured bacterium. Its description in RNAcentral is "partial 16S ribosomal RNA". It matches the Rfam family "Bacterial small subunit ribosomal RNA", at positions 28 to 506 of the family's 1533-position model. The record is from RNAcentral.